CCUACGGGGUGCAGCAGUGGGGGAUAUUGGACAAUGGGGGAAACCCUGAUCCAGCGACGCCGCGUGAGUGAAGAAGUAUUUCGGUAUGUAAAGCUCUAUCAGCAGGGAAGAAAGAAAUGACGGUACCUGAGUAAGAAGCCCAGGCUAACUACGUGCCAGCAGCAGCGGUAAUACGUAGGGGGCAAGCGUUAUCCGGAAGUACUGGGUGUAAAGGGAGCGUAGACGGUAAUGCAAGUCUGGAGUGAAAGGCGGGGGCGCAACCCCCGGACUGCUCUGGAAACUGUGUAACUGGAGUGCAGGAGAGGCAGGCGGAAUUCCUAGUGUAGCGGUGAAAUGCGUAGAUAUUAGGAAGAACACCAGUGGCGAAGGCGGCCUGCUGGACUGUAACUGACGUUGAGGCUCGAAAGCGUGGGGAGCAAACAGGAUUAGAUACCCGGGUAGUC
This 443-nucleotide ribosomal RNA is filed under the name uncultured bacterium. Its description in RNAcentral is "partial 16S ribosomal RNA". It matches the Rfam family "Bacterial small subunit ribosomal RNA", at positions 338 to 795 of the family's 1533-position model. The record is from RNAcentral.